This 402-nucleotide ribosomal RNA is filed under the name uncultured bacterium. RNAcentral describes it as "bacterial SSU rRNA". It matches the Rfam family "Bacterial small subunit ribosomal RNA", at positions 355 to 774 of the family's 1533-position model. The record is from RNAcentral.
UGGGGAAUUUUGGACAAUGUUCUCCCCCCUGAUCCAGCCAUGCCGCGUGAGUGAAGAAGGCCUUCGGGUUGUAAAGCUCUUUCGACGGGGAAGAUGAUGACGGUACCCGUAUAAGAAGCCCCGGCUAACUUCGUGCCAGCAGCCGCGGUAAUACGAAGGGGGCUAGCGUUGUUCGGAAUUACUGGGCGUAAAGCGCGCGUAGGCGGUGAUCUUUGUCAGAGGUGAAAGCCCGGGGCUCAACUCCGGAAUUGCCUUUGAAACGGGAUCGCUUGAGUCCGAGAGAGGAUGGCGGAAUUCCUAGUGUAGAGGUGAAAUUCGUAGAUAUUAGGAAGAACACCGGUGGCGAAGGCGGCCAUCUGGCUCGGUACUGACGCUCAGGCGCUAAAGCGUGGGGAGCAAACA